UGGGGAAUAUUGGACAAUGGGCGAAAGCCUGAUCCAGCCAUGCCGCGUGAGUGAUGAAGGCCUUAGGGUUGUAAAGCUCUUUUGUCAGGGAAGAUAAUGACGGUACCUGAAGAAUAAGCACCGGCUAACUUCGUGCCAGCAGCCGCGGUAAUACGAAGGGUGCUAGCGUUGUUCGGAAUUACUGGGCGUAAAGCGCGCGUAGGCGGCCAAUCAAGUCAGAGGUGAAAGCCCUGGGCUCAACCCAGGAAUUGCCUUUGAAACUGUUUGGCUGGAGUAUUGGAGGGGAGUGCGGAAUUGCUAAUGUAGAGGUGAAAUUCGUAGAUAUUAGCAGGAACACCGGUGGCGAAGGCGGCACUCUGGACAAUAACUGACGCUGAGGCGCGAAAGCGUGGGGAUCAAA
This 400-nucleotide ribosomal RNA is filed under the name uncultured bacterium. RNAcentral describes it as "bacterial SSU rRNA". It matches the Rfam family "Bacterial small subunit ribosomal RNA", at positions 355 to 772 of the family's 1533-position model. The record is from RNAcentral.